AAAUUUUUACCUCUUUUGGCUUAUUGUACAUUAUCUCGAUCUCAAGACAGAUUUUGGUCGUAACCAGCUGAGUUUUUAUAGUCAUAUGGUUAGGGUAUUGUCGGUAACAUUGUGAUUUCAGCAUCUACAUAUACAUUUUUGCAGCCAUUUUAUGAAAUAAAUCUUGUAGUUGGAACUUAUUUACAAUGGCUGCCACUGAAUUUUAAUGUUUGUUUUUGAUAAUUAGAAAAAAAU
RNAcentral lists this small RNA (234 nucleotides) under Arabidopsis thaliana (thale cress). Its description in RNAcentral is "ATSL137790". Lineage: Eukaryota; Viridiplantae; Streptophyta; Magnoliopsida; Brassicales; Brassicaceae. The record is from RNAcentral.